Molecule: ribosomal RNA, 254 nt
Filed under: uncultured Caryophanales bacterium
Lineage: Bacteria; Bacillati; Bacillota; Bacilli; Caryophanales
Description: uncultured Bacillales bacterium partial 16S ribosomal RNA
Rfam family: Bacterial small subunit ribosomal RNA
Source: RNAcentral
UACGUAGGGUGGCAAGCGUUGUCCGGAAUUAUUGGGCGUAAAGCGCGCGCAGGCGGUCCUUUAAGUCUGAUGUGAAAGCCCACGGCUCAACCGUGGAGGGUCAUUGGAAACUGGGGGACUUGAGUGCAGGAGAGAAGAGUGGAAUUCCACGUGUAGCGGUGAAAUGCGUAGAGAUGUGGAGGAACACCAGUGGCGAAGGCGACUAUCUGGUCUGUAACUGACACUGAGGCGCGAAAGCGUGGGGAGCAAACAGG